GCUAGCGUAGCUUAAUCAAAGCAUGACGCUGAAGAUGUUAAGAUGAGCCCUAGAAAGCUCCGCAAGCA
RNAcentral lists this transfer RNA (68 nucleotides) under Platycephalus sp. 1 LL-2021. Its description in RNAcentral is "tRNA-Phe". It matches the Rfam family "tRNA". From Rfam's summary of the family: Transfer RNA (tRNA) molecules are approximately 80 nucleotides in length. Their secondary structure includes four short double-helical elements and three loops (D, anti-codon, and T loops). Lineage: Eukaryota; Metazoa; Chordata; Actinopteri; Perciformes; Platycephalidae. The record is from RNAcentral.